Bufo bufo (common toad) is the source of this 374-nucleotide long non-coding RNA. RefSeq lists it as uncharacterized. The transcript is spliced from 3 exons. The record is from RefSeq and is a predicted model, not a curated record. NCBI's taxonomy places the organism in Eukaryota, Metazoa, Chordata, Amphibia, Anura, Bufonidae.
AUAAUAAAUAUAUUUUAUCCGAUAUUCGCAUGUGCGCUAAUAUAAUCGCCUUACGAAGAUUCGCAACUCAAUUCACUAAUGUAUGAAUGCAAAGUCCUUUGCCUCUGUUCUGGGACAAUGGCAGAUAUUCGCCUAUGCGCUAAUAUAAUCGCCUUACAAAGAUUCGCACCUCAAUCACUUUCUCGGCAAUGAGUAAGAUCUGAGCUUUUGGGAAUCAAUCAAGAUACAGUGGGGGGUGAUGACAGUAGUUGACAGAGUACAGCUCAAUGUAAUCUGUACGGUGGAAACUAAAAUAAAAAAUAUGAAUAUUCGUAAAUCGAAUUUUUCGAAGUUCUAAAUAUUCGCGAAUAUGGUGCUAUACUAUAUGAAUGCAC